This 284-nucleotide long non-coding RNA is filed under the name Carica papaya (papaya). Its description in RNAcentral is "long non-coding RNA (CPAP_LNC013656)". Lineage: Eukaryota; Viridiplantae; Streptophyta; Magnoliopsida; Brassicales; Caricaceae. The record is from RNAcentral.
GCGCGGCGGCGCCGCUGGUCUUCGGCCGCGUAUUCCGGCCGUUUGGCCGGGAUUUUGGCUUCGAUUUGGCCAUAGGAGGAAUCAGCGUGAAAAAACGAGUUGGGGGUAUGAAAUUUACCUCGAUCGGCGGUCGGAAAUUUCCCCGGUGCGGCGGCAGGUGGCGGCGGUCGGCCUCUGGUUCGUCUUCUCCGGCGAGCGGCAGGCGGCUAGGGUUUGUGGUCUGGUGUGGGGGUUCUAUUUAUAACCCCUUGCCCUUUGAUCUCAGCCGUCCAUUUUGUUUUAAU